GAACUAACUCCCUUCCCUCUACUCCCAGAGCCCGCCCGGCAGGACCACCGAGCAAGGCCUUGGAAAACCAGAGAGAUUAGAGCGGUGAGUCGCGCCGGUCACGUUGGACGCCUGCGCGUUAGGAGAUUCUGGAGCCAGAACAGCGGAAUUGCCUUCGCCCGCCCUGCCCCUCGCCUGCUUCAGAAGCUUCCAGGAACUCCCGGGUCGGCGACCCAGCCCGAGCCGCCUGGGGCCCCAAGGGAAGCUGAACGCCCUGUGGGCUCCUGGGAUGGUUCUUCCCGUUCUUUGCGCCGCCUUCACCCAUUGAAGAGCCUGUGCCCACCCUGCCCAGUCGCUCUCGGGGCCGCGGAGGAGCUUCCGCUGCCAUCUUCGGAUCCUGUGUUCCGCACGGGGGCUCCACCAGGGCAGGGAUGGUGAAUGGGGAAAUGGAGAGAGAACCUGAAAGAGCCCCAAACUCGAGGACCUAUUGCUCCCCAAGAAUAACAUCUUCCAGAAGAACUAGACAGAAAACUAGGCGUCUGGGAACUCUGAAAUCCUUGGAGGAGUAGCAUCAUCAUGACCCUCUGUGUUCCUUUUGGCAAAGGACUUGCUCCCAUUGUUUGCUUGUUCCAUUGUCUGUCUGUUAAAUAAAUAAAACCCUUUUCAUAUAUCUUUAAACUUACGUUGGUUUUAUCAUUUUAUGAUUACAAGUAAUGCUGCAGUCAUCAUUCUUGUACACUCUCA
This 723-nucleotide long non-coding RNA is filed under the name Homo sapiens (human). Lineage: Eukaryota; Metazoa; Chordata; Mammalia; Primates; Hominidae. The record is from RNAcentral.